Molecule: ribosomal RNA, 305 nt
Filed under: uncultured bacterium
Lineage: Bacteria
Description: bacterial SSU rRNA
Rfam family: Bacterial small subunit ribosomal RNA
Source: RNAcentral
CCUACGGGCGCAGCAGUGGGGAAUAUUGCACAAUGGGGGAAACCCUGAUGCAGCAACGCCGCGUGAGUGAAGAAGUAUUUCGGUAUGUAAAGCUCUAUCAGCAGGGAAGAAGAUGACGGUACCUGAUUAAGAAGCCCCGGCUAACUACGUGCCAGCAGCCGCGGUAAUACGUAGGGGGCAAGCGUUAUCCGGAUUUACUGGGUGUAAAGGGAGCGUAGACGGCAUAGCAAGUCUGAAGUGAAAGCCCGUGGCUUAACCGCGGAACGGCCUUGGAAACUGUGGAACUGGAGUGCUGGAGAGGCAAG